UACAGGCGGUAGCAGUGUCGUGAAUUAUUGGGCGUAAAGAGCUCGUAGGCGGUUUGUCGCGUCUGCCGUGAAAGUCCGGGGCUCAACUCCGGAUCUGCGGUGGGUACGGGCAGACUAGAGUGAUGUAGGGGAGACUGGAAUUCCUGGUGUAGCGGUGAAAUGCGCAGAUAUCAGGAGGAACACCGGUGGCGAAGGCGGUAUCCUGGA
Molecule: ribosomal RNA, 207 nt
Filed under: uncultured bacterium
Lineage: Bacteria
Description: partial 16S ribosomal RNA
Rfam family: Bacterial small subunit ribosomal RNA
Source: RNAcentral